Molecule: ribosomal RNA, 252 nt
Filed under: uncultured bacterium
Lineage: Bacteria
Description: partial 16S ribosomal RNA
Rfam family: Bacterial small subunit ribosomal RNA
Source: RNAcentral
UACGAAGGGGGCGAGCGUUGUUCGGAUUUACUGGGCGUAAAGGGCGCGCAGGCGGCUCAUUUUGUCAGGCGUGAAAGCCCGGGCUUAACCUGGGAGGUGCGUUUGAUACGGAUGGGCUAGAGUUCGGGAGAGGAGAGUGGAAUUCCCAGUGUAGAGGUGAAAUUCGUAGAUAUUGGGAAGAACACCGGUGGCGAAGGCGGCUCUCUGGACCGAGACUGACGCUGAGGCGCGAAAGCGUGGGGAGCAAACAGG